RNAcentral lists this ribosomal RNA (427 nucleotides) under uncultured bacterium. RNAcentral describes it as "bacterial SSU rRNA". It matches the Rfam family "Bacterial small subunit ribosomal RNA", at positions 355 to 775 of the family's 1533-position model. The record is from RNAcentral.
UCGAGAAUCAUUCGCAAUGGGCGAAAGCCUGACGAUGCGACGCCGCGUGAGCGAUGAAGGCCUUCGGGUUGUAAAGCUCUUUCGCCUGGGAACAAGGAAAGUUAGUUAAUACCUAAUGACUUGAGGGUACCAGGUAAAGAAGCACCGGCUAACUCCGUGCCAGCAGCUGCGGUAAUACGGAGGGUGCAAGCAUUAAUCGGAUUUAUUGGGCGUAAAGGGCGCGUAGGCGGGAAUAUAAGUCAGUUGUUAAAGCCUGGGGCUCAACCUCAGAGAAGCAACUGAAACUGUAUUUCUUGAGGGCGGGAGGAGAAAACGGAAUUCCACAAGUAGCGGUGAAAUGCGUAGAUAUGUGGAAGAACACCUGUGGCGAAAGCGGUUUUCUAUCUCGUUCCUGACGCUGAGGCGCGAAAGCAAGGGGAGCAAACAG